This 23-nucleotide small nuclear RNA is filed under the name Arabidopsis thaliana (thale cress). Its description in RNAcentral is "snRNA_04398". The record is from RNAcentral. Lineage: Eukaryota; Viridiplantae; Streptophyta; Magnoliopsida; Brassicales; Brassicaceae.
GCUGGACAACUGAAACCAAUAGG